GAUGAACGCUGGCGGCGUGCCUAAUACAUGCAAGUCGAGCGCGACUGAUUACACCGUUCUUCGGAACACCGUAAUCAUCGAGCGGCGGACGGGUGAGUAGCACGUGGGCAACCUACCCUUAAGACUGGGAUAACCGCGGGAAACCGUGGCUAAUACCGGAUAAUACUUUUAUACAACGGUAUAGAAGUUGAAAGGUGGAUUUCUAUCACUUAAGGAUGGGCCUGCGGCGCAUUAGCUGGUUGGUAAGGUAACGGCUUACCAAGGCGACGAUGCGUAGCCGACCUGAGAGGGUGAUCGGCCACACUGGAACUGAGACACGGUCCAGACUCCUACGGGAGGCAGCAGUAGGGAAUCUUCCGCAAUGGGCGAAAGCCUGACGGAGCAACGCCGCGUGUGCGAAGAAGGUCUUCGGAUCGUAAAGCACUGUUGUUAAGGAAGAACGACAGUAAGAGUAACUGUUUACCGUGUGACGGUACUUAACCAGAAAGCCACGGCUAACUACGUG
RNAcentral lists this ribosomal RNA (505 nucleotides) under uncultured bacterium. RNAcentral describes it as "partial 16S ribosomal RNA". It matches the Rfam family "Bacterial small subunit ribosomal RNA", at positions 28 to 507 of the family's 1533-position model. The record is from RNAcentral.